This 499-nucleotide ribosomal RNA is filed under the name uncultured bacterium. RNAcentral describes it as "partial 16S ribosomal RNA". It matches the Rfam family "Bacterial small subunit ribosomal RNA", at positions 28 to 507 of the family's 1533-position model. The record is from RNAcentral.
GACGAACGCUGGCGGCGUGCCUAAUACAUGCAAGUCGAGCGGACAGAAUGGGAGCUUGCUCUUGUUCGGUCAGCGGCGGACGGGUGAGUAACACGUGAGCAACCUGCCCGCAAGAUCGGGAUAACUCCGGGAAACCGGAGCUAAUACCGGAUAACACCGAAGACCGCAUGGUCUUUGGUUGAAAGGCGGCGCUAGGUGCUACUUGCGGAUGGGCCCGCGGCGCAUUAGCGAGUUGGUGAGGUCGCGGCUCACCAAGGCGACGAUGCGUAGCCGGGCUGAGGGGGUGAGGGGGCACACUGGGAGUGGGACACGGCCCAGAGUCCUAGAGGAGGCAGCGGGGGAGCAGCGGGCGCGAUGGGAGAAAGCGUGAGGGCGCGACGCCGCGUGGGCGAGGAAGGGCUUCGGGUCGUAGGGUUCUGUUGUGAGGGAGGAAGGGGCGCCGUUUGAAGAGGGCGGCGCGGUGACGGUACCGGACAAGGAAGCCCCGGCUAACUACGUG